GACGAACGCUGGCGGCGUGCUUAACACAUGCAAGUCGAACGAAGAGCGAUGGAAGCUUGCUUCUAUCAAUCUUAGUGGCGAACGGGUGAGUAACGCGUAAUCAACCUGCCCUUCAGAGGGGGACAACAGUUGGAAACGACUGCUAAUACCGCAUACGAUCCAAUCUCGGCAUCGAGGAUGGAUGAAAGGUGGCCUCUAUUUAUAAGCUAUCACUGAAGGAGGGGAUUGCGUCUGAUUAGCUAGUUGGAGGGGUAACGGCCCACCAAGGCGAUGAUCAUUAGCCGGUCUGAGAGGAUGAACGGCCACAUUGGGACUGAGACACGGCCCAGACUCCUACGGGAGGCAGCAGUGGGGAAUCUUCCGCAAUAGACGAAAGUCUGACGGAGCAACGCCGCGUGAGUGAUGACGGCCUUCGGGUUGUAAAGCUCUGUUAAUCGGGACGAAAGGUCCUCUUGCGAAUAGGUAGAGGAAUUGACGGUACCGGAAUAGAAAGCCACGGCUAACUACGUG
RNAcentral lists this ribosomal RNA (510 nucleotides) under uncultured bacterium. RNAcentral describes it as "partial 16S ribosomal RNA". It matches the Rfam family "Bacterial small subunit ribosomal RNA", at positions 28 to 507 of the family's 1533-position model. The record is from RNAcentral.